RNAcentral lists this unclassified non-coding RNA (925 nucleotides) under Hevea brasiliensis (rubber tree). The record is from RNAcentral. Lineage: Eukaryota; Viridiplantae; Streptophyta; Magnoliopsida; Malpighiales; Euphorbiaceae.
GGAGUAACAUGCUUAAAUAACAAUUUCAAACAUCUGUUAGGUUUUCUAAAGAAAUUAACACAACCCAGUAGCGUAAGAGCAUGGAGAAGCCAUAAUCAGAAGACAACAAAAGUGAAUUCAAGUGUUUUCACUUUCAAGGGCUUAAUACAACAAGGAUACAUACAAUUUUUCUUCUUUUUUUUUUUUUUUCUCCUUUUCCUUUUAAGCCUAUCUUCAAUUAUCAAGACCUGGCUUUAUUCCAUACAAGUUAAACUACUUUGUCUUCCCACCAUCUUCAAAAGGGCAGUCCUAGUUUGAGAGAAGUAUCCGAGCUAUCAUCUUCAGCAAGAGGGCCACUGCUGCAGCUGCAUACGUUGGUGGCGGAUUCUGAUGACAUGCCUUCUUCCUGCUGGACAGCCAAAUCCGAAUCCAAAAGAACUGGCCUUUUUCCCUUGCACAAUGUCAUCAUCUUCUGUUUUAGCGCUUUAUUCUCUUCUAGCAGAAGAGCUCCCUUCUUUUCAAGUGCAGAGAUCUCAUUCAUCAUCUUAUCUCCUUUAGUUUCAAGCACACGGCUAAGUCCUGUUUCAAGCAUUUUUUCCAAUUGCUGCAAGUCCUCGAUGUUUAAUCCUUGCAGAUCCUCUCCCCUCAUCUGCCUGAGUUGAUGAGUCUUUUCAGCCACCUCCUUGCUCAACCGCUCGUGAUUGCUAUUCUGUAGCUCCAACUCAAGAGAUGGUCGGUCUAAUUUAUCGAGCUUAUUGGAAUGCAGAUUAUGCCUUGCAAUUAUGUCCUUCAUACUGGAGCUGCAAUACUCAAACAGCUUGCCAGUAGCAGAGAAAAUGAUGAGAGCAACAUCAGCAUCGCAAAGAACAGAAAGCUCUUCAGCUUUCUUGAAAAGACCUCGUCUCCUCUUGGAAAAAGUCACUUGCCUGGCUGUGAUGUUGUCAAU